Molecule: ribosomal RNA, 298 nt
Filed under: Aurantiochytrium limacinum
Lineage: Eukaryota; Bigyra; Thraustochytrida; Thraustochytriidae
Description: partial Eukaryotic large subunit ribosomal RNA
Rfam family: Eukaryotic large subunit ribosomal RNA
Source: RNAcentral
UGGAUGGCGCUCAAGCGGGCGACUUAUACUUUGCCAUUGAAGUGAGUGCGAUACUUCAAUGAGUAGGAGGGCGUGGAGUUUGUCGAACAGGUUUAGGCGUGAGCCUAACUGAAACAUACUCUAGUGCAGAUCUUGGUGGUAGUAGCAAAUAUUCAAAUGAGAACUUUGAAGACUGAAGUGGGGAAAGGUUCCACGUGAACAGCAGUUGGACGUGGGUUAGUCGGUCCUAAGAGAUGGGAGAAAUCCGUUGGAAGGCGGUCGUUUUAGUUUCUUCUUCGACCCUUCUAUCGAAAGGGAA